UUGAUAAGAAAGUGAAACGCUCGAGGUAUCGUAUCUCAAUACAAAUUCAAAACUCAAAACGCUUUCACUCCAACUUCAAUUUCAUCAUGUUCGGAAACAACACAUGCAGCGGCGGCGCUCCAUUUUCUCUCUCAGUCGUGUUCUCUGCCGUCUCAACCUCGCGUCCAUUACAAACCCGACGGCCGAAGAACUCAUACGAGUUCUCUUCUCCGACGAACUCUCGGUCUCAAUAUCUUCUUCUCCUCUUUUCGAUUUCUAAUUCGUUGUUUGUUGGUUUGAUGAUGAUGGUGAUACGGAAUCGGUGAUUUGUGUUGUUGUAUUGUGUGUUUCUGUCCAAGCUUGAUUCGGUGAAAGUGCAAUGAUGAUGAUGGGUAAUGUUUGUUUUAGGGUUAGAUCUGUGUAUUUGUUCAUCUCCAUGGUUGUUUUCAUAAAUCUAAUUAGUUUAUUGUUAUGUUUGAGGGUUUAUUUCUGAUUUUUAUUCUUUUGUUACUUAUGGUUAAUGUUUGUUUCAGGUUUAGAUCUGUGUAUUUGUUCAUCUCCACGACUGUUUUUAUAAAUCAAAUUAUUUCAUCCCUUUUCUCUGCUAUAUAUUGAAUCAAAUUAAGGCUACAUCAUAUAGGAUUUCAUCUCAGUAGCCAGAAAGGAUUUAGACUUGAUCGGGUUUUACCGCUGACUUUUGAAUCUAACAGGAGGAUGAAGUGAAAGAAAGAGCAAAAAGAGAUGCAGCUGCUAGCAAAUGAAGGGAAUACUCAUGGAAAGGAUUGUGUAUGAAGUGAUGGCUUCUUAUUGUAUUGGAAGAGAAUUUUAAUUGUGACAUGGAUAAGCAGUGACUUGGUUCUGAAAUUGCAUAUGUGCUAUGACUGUUUUGGGUUGUAUAAUUAUGCA
Vicia villosa (hairy vetch) is the source of this 885-nucleotide long non-coding RNA. RefSeq lists it as uncharacterized. Lineage: Eukaryota; Viridiplantae; Streptophyta; Magnoliopsida; Fabales; Fabaceae. The transcript has 4 exons. The record is from RefSeq and is a predicted model, not a curated record.